AACGAACGCUGGCGGCGUGCUUAACACAUGCAAGUCGAGUGCGCGUCUGUAGCAAUACAGAUGGCGCACGGCGCACGGGUGCGUAACACGUGGGUAAUCUGCCCUUCGAUGGGGAAUAACCUCGCGAAAGCGAGGCUAAUUCCGCAUAACAUUCCUAGGACCUCGGUCUCUGGAUUCAAAGCCGUAAGGCGUCGAUGGAGGAACCCGCGCACGAUUAGCUAGUUGGUGAGGUAACGGCUCACCAAGGCUAUGAUCGUUAGCUGGUCUGAG
This 270-nucleotide ribosomal RNA is filed under the name uncultured bacterium. Its description in RNAcentral is "partial 16S ribosomal RNA". It matches the Rfam family "Bacterial small subunit ribosomal RNA", at positions 29 to 296 of the family's 1533-position model. The record is from RNAcentral.